CCUACGGGUGGCUGCAGUGGGGAAUUUUGGACAAUGGGGGCAACCCUGAUCCAGCCAUUCCGCGUGAGUGAAGAAGGCCUUCGGGUUGUAAAGCUCUUUCGGCAGGAACGAAACGACGGGCUCUAACAUAGCCUGUCAAUGACGGUACCUGAAGAAGAAGCACCGGCUAACUACGUGCCAGCAGCCGCGGUAAUACGUAGGGUGCGAGCGUUAAUCGGAAUGACUGGGCGUGACUCUUGAGCAGGCGUCUGAAAGCCCCGGGCUUAACCUGGGAACUGCGCUUGUGACUGCAAGGCUCGAGUGCGGCAGAGGGGGGUGGAAUGCCACGUGUAGCAGUGAAAUGCGUAGAGAUGUGGAGGAACACCGAUGGCGAAGGCAGCCCCCUGGGUCGACACUGACGCUCAUGCACGAAAGCGUGGGUAGCAAACAGGAUUAGAUACCCCGGUAGUC
Molecule: ribosomal RNA, 450 nt
Filed under: uncultured bacterium
Lineage: Bacteria
Description: partial 16S ribosomal RNA
Rfam family: Bacterial small subunit ribosomal RNA
Source: RNAcentral